Long non-coding RNA from Bombus huntii, 1390 nucleotides. RefSeq lists it as uncharacterized. The record is from RefSeq and is a predicted model, not a curated record. NCBI's taxonomy places the organism in Eukaryota, Metazoa, Arthropoda, Insecta, Hymenoptera, Apidae. The transcript has 2 exons.
CUUAUCUUAAAACAAGUUGUUUCCUGAAGAAGUUAAAUAUUAUAAAAAUCUGAUCAAAAUAUUUCUCACUUUCUAGAAAGCCCGUUUUGGAAGUUGCAACCAACGCUUUUCUUUAACUGAUCUUUAAUCAAAAAAUUGAAAUUUAAAAUAAAAAAUGAUGGAAUAACUUAAGAUAUGAAACUAUAUUGGUUGAAACUUUCUAAUGAAACUUUUUAAAUGAGAAAUACUUUGACCAGAUUUUGAUGGUAUUUAACCUUUGCUCAUAUAAAUUAAUAUUUGUUCAUUAGGCUAGAAUUUGGGAGGGAUUUCCAAUGCUCAUUAUCAGCACGGUGUCCUUUUUUGGCGCUGCACUGGUUUUGUUCCUGCCGGAAACUGUCGGCCAGAAUCUUCCUCAGACUAUCAAGCAAGGCGAAGAAUUCGGAAGGGACCAACAUUUCUGGUCGUUGCCUUGCUAUCAUAAGACACACUUCAAUGGACAUCAACACUAUCACUCCUGAAGAAGAAAAAAAGAAAGGAAAGAAUAUUGUAAGCAAAUCGUGCCAUCGUAUGACAAUCAGUGUUCGUCGUUGUGCCAAUAACAACGCAAUCAAUCUGAAGAAACCUAUUCAUAGUAUUCAUAAUCAUCACUCACGUAUACAUACGCGUAUACACUCACGUCCAUAAGAUUGAUUCACCGAAUAAAACUUCCAUAAACCUUAAUAUAAGAAACAAUUCUACUUUUUAUUUGCACACACAUCGACGAAUCCCCCGAACAAAAAUAAACUGCUAAAUAUCUCUAUAAUUAAAUACAUUAAUGCUCGAUGAUCCUCGUUCAUCAUUAUACGUCUAAUCUAACUCCAUCCUAUAAUUAGGAGUUCUACGAUAACGAUCACUUAUGUUACAAUGUAUUAACCCUUAACAGCCGAACUUAAUUAUAAUUAAUUAUAGAAAAUGAAAUGCUUCAUUAUACGGAUAUUUGAAGUAAUAUUCUGUAUUAUACAGGGUGUCUGGUAAUUGAUACUGUGAUAACCAGUGGUUAGUUAAUGUGGUUAAUAACCAGUGGUACAGGAUAAUACUAUGUGAAAGGAUCUGUUGAAAAUAUAGAACGAGAGAUUUUCGUACGACGUUCGAGAGAAUGAAAUUCUGAAGCUUUGUCAACUCGUGUUCACACGACAUUCACGAAACAUAUUCAAAAUUUAUUUUCUCGAAAAUACGAAGAAUCAUCAGUUACGAAACACUCUGUACUAUAUCACAUUAUUAUAUCACUAUCGUAUUGAUAAGAAAUGUCGAUAUUAUAACUCCUUAAGACUCCCUUAAUAUUUAUUUGCGAUUCAGCUUAAUAUGUAUUUCAAUAUUAAAUUGUAAUGUGUAAUUUCAAGAUUAAAAAUAUAAAAGAAUUCAUUCCUGAUUA